CAGGAACUUGCCAGAGAUGGCUUGGUGCUCGAAAGAGAGCCUGGACACAGGUGCUGCAUGGCCGUCGUCAGCUCGUGUCGUGAGAUGUUGGGUUAAGUCCCGCAACGAGCGCAACCCUUGUCAUUAGUUGCUACGAAAGGGCACUCUAAUGAGACUGCCGGUGACAAACCGGAGGAAGGUGGGGAUGACGUCAGGUCCUCAUGGCCCUUAUGGGUAGGGCUACACACGUCAUACAAUGGCCGGUACAGAGGGCUGCCAACCCGCGAGGGGGAGCCAAUCCCAGAAAACCGGUCGUAGUCCGGAUCGUAGUCUGCAACUCGACUGCGUGAAGUCGGAAUCGCUAGUAAUCGCGGAUCAGCUUGCCGCGGUGAAUACGUUCCCGGGUCUUGUACACACCGCCCGUCACACCAUGGGGGC
RNAcentral lists this ribosomal RNA (417 nucleotides) under uncultured bacterium. RNAcentral describes it as "bacterial SSU rRNA". It matches the Rfam family "Bacterial small subunit ribosomal RNA", at positions 990 to 1411 of the family's 1533-position model. The record is from RNAcentral.